CGGCAUGCCUUACACAUGCAAGUCGAACGGUAACGGGUCCUUCGGGAUGCCGACGAGUGGCGAACGGGUGAGUAAUAUAUCGGAACGUGCCCAGUAGUGGGGGAUAACUGCUCGAAAGAGCAGCUAAUACCGCAUACGACCUGAGGGUGAAAGGGGGGGAUCGCAAGACCUCUCGCUAUUGGAGCGGCCGAUAUCAGAUUAGCUAGUUGGUGGGGUAAAGGCCUACCAAGGCAACGAUCUGUAGUUGGUCUGAGAGGACGACCAGCCACACUGGGACUGAGACACGGCCCAGACUCCUACGGGAGGCAGCAGUGGGGAAUUUUGGACAAUGGGCGCAAGCCUGAUCCAGCAAUGCCGCGUGCAGGAAGAAGGCCUUCGGGUUGUAAACUGCUUUUGUCAGGGAAGAAAUCUUCUGGGCUAAUACCCCGGGAGGAUGACGGUACCUGAAGAAUAAGCACCGGCUAACUACGUGCCAGCAGCCGCGGUAAUACGUAGGGUGCGAGCGUUAAUCGGAAUUACUGGGC
This 524-nucleotide ribosomal RNA is filed under the name uncultured bacterium. Its description in RNAcentral is "bacterial SSU rRNA". It matches the Rfam family "Bacterial small subunit ribosomal RNA", at positions 40 to 559 of the family's 1533-position model. The record is from RNAcentral.